AUUGAACGCUGGCGGCAGGCCUAACACAUGCAAGUCGAGCGGAUGAAGGGAGCUUGCUCCUGGAUUCAGCGGCGGACGGGUGAGUAAUGCCUAGGAAUCUGCCUGGUAGUGGGGGAUAACGUCCGGAAACGGGCGCUAAUACCGCAUACGUCCUGAGGGAGAAAGUGGGGGAUCUUCGGACCUCACGCUAUCAGAUGAGCCUAGGUCGGAUUAGCUAGUUGGUGGGGUAAAGGCCUACCAAGGCGACGAUCCGUAACUGGUCUGAGAGGAUGAACAGUCACACUGGAACUGAGACACGGUCCAGACUCCUACGGGAGGCAGCAGUGGGGAAUAUUGGACAAUGGGCGAAAGCCUGAUCCAGCCAUGCCGCGUGUGUGAAGAAGGUCUUCGGGUUGUAAAGCACUUUAAGUUGGGAGGAAGGGCAGUAAGUUAAUACCUUGCUGUUUUGACGUUACCAACAGAAUAAGCACCGGCUAACUUCGUG
RNAcentral lists this ribosomal RNA (484 nucleotides) under uncultured bacterium. RNAcentral describes it as "partial 16S ribosomal RNA". It matches the Rfam family "Bacterial small subunit ribosomal RNA", at positions 30 to 507 of the family's 1533-position model. The record is from RNAcentral.